AUGGCGAGAGCGCUCCUGGAGUCCGCGGGCGGCGCGGCGGCGGCGGCGGCGUGGGGUUUCCUGCCGCCGUGGCUCGCGGCGCUCGGCAUGGGCGUGGCGUCGGUCUGGGCCGUCUCGUUCGCCGUGUUCCUCUGCGGCCGCAGCAGCUCGCGCGACGACGCCCCCAAGAAGAAGCCCGCCCCUGCUGCCACGGCCCCGAAGGCGACCAGCUCCGUGAGUGUCGCCCCGGCCCCGAAGACGAGCGCGCCCGCGAGUGUCGCCACGGUCCCGAUGGCGAGCCGACCCGCGAGUGUCGCCGCGGCCCCGAAGGCGAGCACGCCCGUGACUGUGGCCACGGCACCGAAGGCGAGCACGCCCGCGAGUGUCGCCGCGGCCCCGAUGGAGAGCCGGCCCGCGAGUGUCGCCGCGGCCCCGAUGACGAGCACACCCGCGAGUGUCGCCACGGCUCCGAUGGCGAGCCGACCCGAGAGUGUCGCCACGGCAGCGAAGGCGAGGACGCCCGUGAGUGUCGCCACGGACGCGACGUCGAGAUGGCCCGUGAGUGUCGCCACGGCACCGAUGGCGAGCCGACCCGCGAGUGUCGCCACGGCAGCGAAGGUGAGCAGGCCGGCGAUCUUCGCGCCCACCACGGUGAGCUCGUCGAGGUCCGGGAGCACGGUGGUGGACACGACGGGGUGGUACGGAGCCGCGUACGCCUCCGGUGGAUGCCAUGGCCACGGCCACGGCCACUGCCAUGGGCAAGGUGGCGGCGGUGGCGGCGGCGGAGGUGGUGGUGGUGGUGGUGGUGGCUGCGGCGGCGGCGGAGGCGGUGGUGGUGGCGGCGGCGGUGGCUGCGGCGGCUGCUAA
RNAcentral lists this ribosomal RNA (846 nucleotides) under Triticum aestivum (bread wheat). RNAcentral's name for it is "partial small subunit ribosomal RNA". Lineage: Eukaryota; Viridiplantae; Streptophyta; Magnoliopsida; Poales; Poaceae. The record is from RNAcentral.